Xyrichtys novacula (pearly razorfish) is the source of this 9807-nucleotide non-coding RNA. The record is from the annotation of a GenBank genome assembly. Lineage: Eukaryota; Metazoa; Chordata; Actinopteri; Labriformes; Labridae.
CAGGUGUUGGGAUUCAGCACACUCUUCCUCCCUUUCCUUCCUUGGCAGGGUGUAUAUGCUGUGUACCUCUAAGACCUAACAGUGGUUUGCUACAUUUUCUCUCAUCCUGAGCCCAGUGGACGCCUGUGGUGACAAUAAUUGAAGGCUCUCAGAUCUUUUUCGAUCACUCAGCCCCUGUGUCCUGCAGUUAGUGGUCAUCUUUUGGAGGAGAAAACGCACCGGCUCGUUCAUGUUUUACAUAAGUAUGGCUGUGAACCCGUGGCCCACAUUGCAGGGUGCCCAAGUUAAAAGGAGUUCGCUGGAAAGUUUUGUCACAUUUUGGCUCUUUGUGAUUCAGUAAAUGUAGAUGCGUCGCCGAUUUAUUCUGAGAAAGGCGGAUGACAACAAGGACACAUUUCAAGUAGCGUCCUCAGUGCCACAUGGCAAUUUAACAGCUGAAUCUUGAUUCCAGUGCAGCCUUGGAGGAGGCAUGUGUUGGAGCUACUGAACAGACUCUUUCCUGAGACUAAUUUACACAUCAAAAUAGUUUUUUUUCAACCUCUAAUCUGGGUUAUAUUUACACAACUAGGAGUAUUUAGUGACACUAACAUCUCUUUAUGACACCAAACUAUGGCUGAUAAUGUAGGAAAUUUACACACUGGGAGAUACUACAUAAAUAAAGGAGUUACGUAUUCAUAUUAGUAUUUCUUAAUAAGACUUUUGCGUCAUUACUGGUUUACUUUGACCAGCUAAGCUUAGUCCUCAACUCUUUGAGCUGUGUUGCCAGUUUUUGGGGAGAAAAUCUUGAAUGUAAACUCUACCCCUCCCAACCAGUUUUCCCCUUAGUUCCUCCUCUCAGCGAGCCCCGCCCACAAACAGACGCUCCUGCUCGCUCAUAUCGUUCCGUUAAAUUCAGAUAUAAUGCAGAUAAAUACUUAAGAUAAUUACAAAUGGGGCCCAGUCAACAUGAAAGUAAAAAGCAAUGGUGCUACUGUAGAUGCCAACAGACUACCAGCAAACACAAUGUUUUCAGGACUUCUACAAGUAGGAUAAAGUGACAUAGUCCAGGACCCGAGGUCAACAGUUUAGCUACAACACGCAACAGGUCCCGUUUGACAAGAAACACUUCUGUUACAGACACUUGGCUUACUUUGUUAAAGUGGUGUACCUGUCCAGAAGAAAGGUUACAGGGUCCGUAAGAUCUCAAAGUGUCCCCCAUCGUUUGCGCUUCAUUGAUGUUGACCCGGCUUCUCAGCUCUUGCCCGGCUUUUUAAGCGCCUGUUAUUCCGCCAGAGUCUCUGGUAUUUACUUUGUUUUCUUGCUUGUGUCGGCAGUCGUGGCCAAAGGAGGAUUCAGACAGUUUUCCGUACUUUCUGGUUGGUUUCUACUGUCCGAUAUUGUAGCACGCUAACUUUGUUUGGGCUCGUGAACGACACGAGGGAGCAGUGUCUGCCUCACAACCAAUCAGGUUGUGGGAGGCAGAGAAUACGGCUUUGUUUACAGUCAGAAAGAGCGGGCCGCUCAAAAAAUUCAAAAUGUUGACUACACAGACAUAACAAAACACAGCGAUAUCGUUAUAUUACCAAAUGUCAUCAAUAACUCAAUAACUAGUAGCUAUUGACAGAAGUUAAAAGCUUUUUUGUAUAUACACCACAAAAAAAGAUGCUUCUUUAACAGAUUCCUGCCUACCCCACCUUUAAUCAAGCACGUUCUCUUUUCAAUAUUUUAUAUUUUUUCUGGAUGAAGAUUUGGUCUGUAAAGUGCACAUUAAUGCAUUGUAAUAUGGCUGUAUUAAUACCGGUUCAAGUAGACGUGAUCAGUGGGUGUAAAAGGUUGUAAAUAUGUUCACUUGGUGCCAUCCCCAGGAAAGUCCAAUCCUCCGUUUGGUCAAAGAAGUCUGGACACGUCUCUGUUAACCGUACGCUUUUCGUAUGUUUGUAUAUUUUUUCUCUCUUUCCAUUGGGUUUCCAACAAAAGCAGAAAUUUUUGCAAUGCUCCACUUGUAAAUCACUUUGUUGAUAACAAAAAAAAGGUUUUUGCCAGCAGCAGAAUUGCACACCCAGUGCAACAAAACAAGGUGAGUAAAAGGACAAAAAAAGCAGCAUCUCCACACAGACAAAGUCAACAAAACAAAAAGAGGGAACAAGGUUUCAUAUUAAAUAUUUAGACACAAUUAUGGGUCAACCAGAUCAGGUAAUGUAUUCCUUGAAAUAUUAAGAACCAAAUAUACAGCAGACCUUCUGUCCAAGCUGGAGGGGAACAGUCCAGCCUCUGUCCAACAACAUAAAAAUAUAUAGAUGCAUAUAUGUUUACAUUUCUGUGCUUCUGUUUGAGUGAGUCUGGUUAAGAAGAGCACAAAUGUAAAAAAGUGUGCACUAUUUUCAUUGCACCUUUCCCUAUUCCACCAUGUGUUACCGUACUCUGCUCCAUCUCCAUUACAGAUUUCACAUCCCUUAAUGAGGUGGUUUGCAAAGAGCAAAUUUUUCUGUAAAUCGUCACCAAAGCAUCUUUCUAUACAGUCUUCACUUCAACCCCUAAGGACAACUUUAACUUUUCUUUUUGGUACAUCCACAUACAGCGGCUGUCCUCAUCAAACAUGAAAAAACUAAGCUUUUAAACAGCGGUAUGACCCUUGAAUCCAACAGACACUAAGAUCCCAAGAGUUCAAACCAAGUACCAAAAACUGCAGGUCCAUGUGAGGCUGUCUUGAAGUCUAGAUUGUUGACAAAUUUCCCUGAGACCAGAGUGACGAGAAGCCUGGUGACUGUAAGUUACCUGGUGGUUCAUGCCGACCAUCCCUUGGUUUCUCACCGAGGAUUUUAACCAACAGUGGGUCUGCUCUGCUCCAUAAACUCCAACCUAUGAACCUUGAGAUUAACAGCUGUUGUCAGCCACCACCAUGAAUCAAAUCUCAUGUUCUGAGAAACACGUUUGAAGUCCGGCUGUUAGCAUCUAUUAAACAGCCAUGGGUAUAGAUGUGCAGUUUCUCUCCGGCUCUGCUCCUUACUCUGAAUAUGAAACUCAACAUGGAUGCAGCUUCAUGAAGAUCCAGGGCCUCAUUUAUGCAGUAAAGAAAUCUGUAGAUGAUGAUGCAAUUGCUAUGUCAGUUUUUCAUGCUGUAACUAGCUUGAAAUGUUGAAGAAUUUGUCUGAUUUUUAAAGACGAAUAUGAUGCAUGGUGGGUAUUUAUGAAUCAUGGUUCAGUAUCAUAUGGAAGAAAAAGCAGCAUUUCUACUUUAAACAUAUUUUUUAUAUUGGAGCUGUCAAGUUAUUUAAAAAAAGUGAAUGAAUUAAUUGCCGGUUUGAUGGUUCAUUAACUGCAAUUAAACAAUCAUAUUAAUAAAUAAGCAUUGCAUUGCAUUGGUGGACAUACUGCUUAACCAUACACCUAAAAGACAGUCACUAACUUUAGCAUUUUAAUUGUACUCUGUCUUUAACCUUAUCGAGUGUUAUUAUCAAAUCCCAAAUGCAAGAAACUGUUUGUUUUUGAGUAGGGGUGUCCCAUACAACUAUUUGGCUUCCAAUACGAUAUUGAUAUUGCAGCCUUCGAUAUUAACCGAUACCGAUAUUGAUCCGAUAUUGGCACAAAAUUGUGCAUGACAAGUUUUUCACUCAGCUACAAUGUCUCUUUUGGACUUAAACAAAAAAUACUGCCUCAAGUCCAACAUCAUUCCUACUCCCUGCUACUUUGUUAGUACCUUAGUACACACUGUUGUUGUGAUUACAUGGGCUCUGCAUGCUGGAUCAGGGCACUGCUAAAUAGAAGUGCUGGAGCGGAGUCUGGAAUGGACUGCUUGUAUCGGAGUGCUGAUAUCGGAAAUUUCAGAUGCAGGCUGGUAUCCGAUAUUCGUUUUUUUUUUGUUGCUGAUAUUGGACUGAUAUCCAAAAAGAGUGUCCAAGUAGGUGUCCAAGAAGAAACGGGUCCACAACAUACAGUUAUUGUGCGACCGUGAAGCCCACCCUUACAAUUUUUUUAUGCGCUAUUUUUUAAUCAAAGUUUGUAAAGCAAAACUUACACAUUGAUAUGACGGGCGUAGUUUUAAUGAAUCUUUUUCGUUGUUUUUUAUGCGAUUUGUUGGACAGAAGUAUACCAGCCAUGUCUCCGUAGUCGGAUGAAAUCUGGUAGCUUGAAAAAAUGUUACUUUACUGCUGCUCAUCCAUCAUGAUGACUGGCAGCUGUUGUGCUGACUAAGUGAUAGGACUGUAAAUAUGAUGAAUAUUGCAUUACAGACAAAAUAAAAGACUGCAGCUGGAAGUUUAUAUCUUUGACGGAUGUUACAUGCGGGGUAAGUAUGAAGUCUUCCGGUAAGCUACAUCAACAGCAGUCCAUCUAAAUCCAUCAUGAGCGUGUUUCUCCGUGCCGCUGCUGUGUGUCAAAUGAAGGCAGGGCUGCAGGACUGCAGACUCAUCACCAUAACACAGUCAGUCUGCUAAGUGAAAAGCGAGAAGGAGUUUUUCCCCUCACCCUGUCUGAUGCAUCCACAAUAUUACCAGGAGUAGCAGCUGGAAGCCUCAUAAAUCAUUGCGGGGCCUACGGGACAAAGGGGAUCACAUGGCACCAGGGCGCAGCGGAUGCUAAAGGGGUUCAACUUUAGUAACGAUAAGAGCUUCCAUUCAGAGAGCAGGGUUGUGGGAAGUAGAUUAUCAGUACAAGGGAGGUCAGGGGAUGGGAGUAUAAUUAAUACUGUAUGAGUUAAACCUAUGACAUGCUUCUCCUGCUACCAACAGCUAUCUGAUUAAAGUAGAAAGGAUGGAGAAGAGAAUGUGGGUGGAGAGCAAAGCACUGUGGGUGGGUGGGGAUGGGGGUGGGCGGGAGAUCCCAGCUCAAAGCGAGGAAACGCUUCUCUCUCCUUUUCCAGUGCUCAGUAUUGCUCUGUCUCUUCUUAUUAGAAAGCUAAUGCAACUGUCUGUUCUAAUACUGCCGAGCAGCUUUUAUUCUUUUUUUCUCUCCUUUGCAACCUUUUUCUAUUCCGCGCAGCUCUAAUCUGUGCAGUGGCAGCAGAUAAUAAGACGGGGCACAUUCGCUUACUCUCCCCGCUUCCUUACAGGCUUUUGUCUUGGCGCGAGCCGUACAGUCGUUUGUUUCAACAACUUUGCAGCAUAAAAUCAGAGAGAAAACUUUUGCAGGUGAAUUUUUCUGUGCGGCCAACCCGUGAUUCUUCAGAGGUUUUCUGUUGAUAUUGCCCUCCAAAAAAACCUGAAAGACAGCACAGACUUCUUUGUUUUACGCUCAAAGAAGUUCCAGUUUUGAGGCCUUUGAAGUGCACAAAGUGUUGGAGCUUACAGAGGAAUUGUUCUUGGGGAGAGGGGAUGAAUUUGAGAGUGAAUUUAAAUCUCAGGCUUAACUUUUACUGGCACUUGCAUUGUAAAGAUCAAACAUGCCUUACUGGACCUUGAAUGCCAACUAAGAACCCCCAGGCCAGAGAGAGAGAGAAAAAGGGAUUCAUAAGGACUUGUCUGUAGAUAAUUCUGAUGUAACUCCCCUUCUUGUUCAAUGGAGCUGCAGAGCAGUGAGAAAAAGGACAAUUAGCUCUAUGAUAAAUUCACAUUCUUUGCAACUUCUAACUUGCUCUUUGAAAGAACAGAAGUCUAGUAUCUAAAAUGUGAACCUCGGUUUCUCUUUGGCACUCAGUUUGCGGCUGCAUGUUGAAGCACAGGCAAUUAUAGGCGACAAAUAAGGAAUUAAGACUCUGAAUAUGGGAAAAUGUGAGUGAUGUGCAGACGUAAGGGAGUUCACGGAGGCUAAUUCACUGAGAAAAUGUCCUCUGUGGAAGUGUUCGGGGAACAUAACGGUGUUUCAUUGUUAAAUGUAGAAGACAUGAAGCACACUGCACAGCUCGGCAGCAACGCAGACAGGCAGAGAGAAUGAUCCUGAUUGAGUUUAAUGCCUGUUGAUAUUGCCUGGUCUGCGAAAAGGAAUCGGGUUUUACAGCUAUCUGAACAAUGUGAAACUCUUCCACAUGAAUGUACUGAUUGUUUCUCCUCGUGUAAUUGGUUAUUAUGUGCAGUAUUUUGUUGUUUUUCUGUCAAUUCAGCAUGGUGGCCGGCUUCUAUAAAUCUGCUUAUUUCCAGCUCUAGCUUUCUUGUCCCACUUUCUGCAUGACAGUCAGGCUUACUUUCCUCCAAAAUGUGUUGAGUUUCUACUUUUCCUCCAGCUGUUAACAAAAGCGCAGCGGAAAAAAGAAAGUACACCCCUUAAAUUAGGCAAAACAUUUCACUUUUUUUGUUCAACACCGGUAGAAGUCCAACAUGAACUGUAGGUGUAAGGAAAAAAUUACUUUUCACACAUUUGCCAAAUGCUGGAGUCCUUUCAGGAUUUGACAAACGUGUGAAAAGUUCCUGGAUCGUUCAUGAAACGUUGGGUGGAGCUCAAAGUUUGGUAAAUGGGGAAACAUUUCACACCUCUGUUAAAUCCUGGAGAACGGAUGAAACGCUUACAGAAACAUUUUUAGACAUCAGCUAAAUGUUAAAAGUGAGACUCUUGUGGAUAAUAGGAAACUUAUUAUUGAUUGUUGAAUUUAUUACCAUUAAUUGACCUUUAGAACAAAAAAAGUAUGACAGGUAUUAAAAUUAAUAGUCUAUAACAUGAGACAAAAGCACUAGGAGAUAAGGUGAUUGCUUCUGACUUCAAUUAACUCAGUUUUUUCUGACUUGAUGCCAAGUUUUCAGCAUGCACAUUGGUUUUUAUCAACUUUUUUCCAACAAAUUCCUGUCCAUCUGCCCAUAAAAAACAUGUUUUUUUGGGGAGUUGAUACUUUGAGCAAAUAUCCCCUAAAACAAAUCUUAAAAUACAACCGAAUUGUAACAGGAUUUUCAGCAUCGUUCACUUCUCAUAAUCCAACAAACCGGAGAGAAGAUGUGAACCACAUGGGACACAAAUAUUGACCAAGUGUUUCUCACGGCCAAAAAUAGGUCAUGAUUUUCCUGCAGCAUAUUGACCCAUUUUCAUCUUAUUUGGUUUGUAGUUGUAAAUAGAAGCUGAACAAAAAUGAUCCCUUACAGCAUUUUCUGUCGAAAACUAUGAAAUUUGGUUGUCAUACUGUAUGUAUCUUGUCCACACAAACAAAGAAGCAGCAAGGCUAAGAGGAAGUCCACUAUUUUUAAUGGCUAGAAUAUCCUGCAGAAUGAGACAUUUGCAGGACUCUUAGGAAUCUUGGUGCUAAUGGUCCAAGUCAGGGGUGAACCCAGUCAACUUCCACUUUGGUUAAAAGCCUCCAUUCAUCUUACAACCAAAACUAAAAUGGUGUCACUCUGGCGCCUUGCUUAAAUUCGAUGUCUGGCCUGAACACUGAGGCUUGAAAGUAGCUCAGAAUGACAGUCAUCCUCUCUCAACAUGUUCACGUCAGUUGUUACUGAAUUACCACUUUGUGCUCUCACUUUAUGAUGUGCAAAAUACAUGACAAUUAAGAGCCAUUAUCACUUACUGAUGGUGCGGCAACAACACAGUGUUGUAUCACACUGCAACAUGCACCGAAAUCCCAACGCACACAGUUAUGUUCCUCUUGCAGCCCCACUUUCAUUUGACAUCAAGCUUAUUCAAAUUGAUCAAUCAAAGACAGAUCAUUCAUGAUAAUUUGAUGUCGGUGUAAUUAAAAUGAUAAAAACUCAAACAAAUGAGAAACUCUGGAACAUCAUUUGGAAGUACCAAAAACUGAAGUUAAAAGUUUUUAUCUCGAUUGGAUCAGUCAGUGUAAGAAAUAUUUCUACGCACUGUCCCCAGAUGAUCACUGGUUGAAAAAAAAUACAUAUCAAAACAGAAAUGGGUUAUCUGUCAGUGGAAACCAUUCAUCCAUCCAUUUUCUACCGCUUAUUCCCGUUCCCGGGGUCGCGGGGGGGCUGGAGCCUAUCCCAGCAUCUUCUGCUUGUAAAAUAAAUCCAGUGUGGAAGUGGAAGAUGCUGCAGUUUCUCGAGGGUCCUCUUGAGGCUGGCUGCAAAACCAAGUCCCCGCUGGGUUUACUGUGAAAGUGCCCUUUUUACAGCCGAAUUAAACAUGUCUACACUGCAGCCAGGCUGACAAACAGUUGUUGGGUGAAUUUUCAAAACUAGGUCCAAGUUUAGACUGUCUAUGGUUAUCUGUAGAUGUCAGGUGGUUGGUCUCUCUUCGGUGACGUAUUUAUAAGUCUGUUAGUGGGAAAAGUUGACAUGUACAGCUGUUUAGACCGUGGCUUCCUUGGGGGGGCAGAGAUUACUGGCCAAAUGUGUUGGAUUGCAGCUGACAAAGGAAAUGUUGUAUCAGUGCACAUAUUAUAGAAACGCACAUUAUGAAGCAUCUAGGGCCUACUUGCUACACGUCUAUCAUCAGGGUGGGCUGUGAGACAUGAUAAUGAAAAGAUAAAUUUUCUAAAAUUUCCCAGGCGUCACUUGAUGUUGGUGUCCAGCCGAGACACUAAAACUGUGAUGUCUUGUUUUGCGGGACAUUUCGGGGCCAUGUGAUGCUCAUAAAGAAAGCGGUUUGCUGGAGUGGAUACCCCAGUGUGUCGUUUAGGACUCAUCAGGCCCUCUCCUGCCCUGGUGGCAUGAUUAAACUUUCAGGGAGUCAUCAGAUUUGCCGUCACUUGGAGAUUAAGCUGAUCUCAGACAAUCCCUCAAGCAGAGGCAACCCUCCACCAUUGUAAUUUUAUGCUAAUAGAGCCAUAUCUCUCACAAUGUAGAGGGCAGCAAUUCUGAAUCUUUCACUCUCUCUUUUUCAAAAUCACUGCCUCUAUUUCUUCCUCUUUGUCCUCUCUCUCCCUCCACCGCCCCCCUCUUCCAGACUUCGCUCCAGUUAAAGAGAUUCUAGACACACAUUCGCUUCAAAUUAAUCUUAUCCUGUGAGUGUGUGUGCGCGAUUGUGCGGCUGUGAAACGCUGUCACAACCUUUUGUAAACACAUUAUGGAGGAUAAACUGUACAGUUUUAAAGGAUCACAGAAAAGACUGUUAGGCAUUGUUCCUCAUCUCCUCAUAUCUGUUUGUUCCCUUGAAUGUAAGCUUAUGCUGUCUGCAGUUUCACUCCAUUCAGAAGCAGCUUUUUACCCUCAAAGUGCAUCUUUAAGUGUCUGUAGGUGUCAAGUCAACCAAACUGACAGAAAGAGAAAAUAUUUUACUGGAAAUACUAACAUUUAUGCUUUCGAAGACGUAGGCAUGGCAGCUACAGAUAAACAGCUGAUGUUUAUGUUGCUCUUUGGUUUAGUGGUUUCUUACCGAGGACGAACAAGCUUCGAAAUAUUAUUUUCAGAAAGGGAUUCAGAUUAUAAUCAGAUUAAGAAACAUGAGUUUGGAUCGCUUUAUCAAAGUUUUGCAAUUCAGUCCCUUACCCUCAUAGUCCAUAUGUGGAAAUGUCUGUGGGCAAUAGUGUUGUCGUUCGCGAACAAAUCGUUCAAAGAACCGAAUCUUUUAAGUGAAAGUACUGAACCAAAUCACUUCCUCAAGUGAAUCGUUCGUUUCUCACUUCAGUUAAGCUGUUAGAAGUGCAGCUGCUAUAGCAUGCAGCAUUGCCAGGCGAGCAGCCGGCGAACGAGGGACCGCAUGCACUGAUGCCUGAAUCACUUGAUGAACAAAUCACGCUUUGAACUACAUUCUCUAGAAUCAUUUUUGUGGGACAAAACUACCUUUUUUUUUUUUUACUGCUAAAUUGCCACCACAACAACUUGCAUACAGUCAGACACAGCAUGUAACAAGUAGUGCAUUAAACCUCAAUAUACUGAGCAGACCUGAUAAAUAGCAUACCAUAGGACAGUACACUUAAAACAUCAUGACUUAUAAACAAGUUCAUUUUACAAACCUAUUUGUCAAAGCAACACAGCCAAACACUCUCGUCUCCCGGUCCCAGAAGCUCUGUAUUGAACUGAA